GAGUUUGAUCUUGGCUCAGAACGAACGCUGGCGGCAUGCCUAACACAUGCAAGUCGAACGAAGGCUUCGGCCUUAGUGGCGCACGGGUGCGUAACGCGUGGGAAUCUGCCCUUGGGUACGGAAUAACUCACCGAAAGGUGUGCUAAUACCGUAUGAUGACGUAAGUCCAAAGAUUUAUCGCCUGAGGAUGAGCCCGCGUAGGAUUAGCUAGUUGGUGAGGUAAAGGCUCACCAAGGCGACGAUCCUUAGCUGGUCUGAGAGGAUGAUCAGCCACACUGGGACUGAGACACGGCCCAGACUCCUACGGGAGGCAGCAGUGGGGAAUAUUGGACAAUGGGCGAAAGCCUGAUCCAGCAAUGCCGCGUGAGUGAUGAAGGCCUUAGGGUUGUAAAGCUCUUUUACCCGGGAAGAUAAUGACUGUACCGGGAGAAUAAGCCCCGGCUAA
This 445-nucleotide ribosomal RNA is filed under the name uncultured Alphaproteobacteria bacterium. RNAcentral describes it as "bacterial SSU rRNA". It matches the Rfam family "Bacterial small subunit ribosomal RNA", at positions 9 to 500 of the family's 1533-position model. Lineage: Bacteria; Pseudomonadati; Pseudomonadota; Alphaproteobacteria. The record is from RNAcentral.